Molecule: ribosomal RNA, 301 nt
Filed under: uncultured bacterium
Lineage: Bacteria
Description: partial 16S ribosomal RNA
Rfam family: Bacterial small subunit ribosomal RNA
Source: RNAcentral
CAGCCGCCGCGGUAAAACGAAGGGUGCAAGCGUUAAUCGGAAUUACUGGGCGUAAAGCGUGCGUAGGCGGUUCGUUAAGUCUGUUGUGAAAGCCCCGGGCUCAACCUGGGAAUGGCAAUGGAUACUGGCGAGCUAGAGUGUGUCAGAGGAUGGUGGAAUUCCCGGUGUAGCGGUGAAAUGCGUAGAGAUCGGGAGGAACAUCAGUGGCGAAGGCGGCCAUCUGGGACAACACUGACGCUGAGGCACGAAAGCGUGGGGAGCAAACAGGAUUAGAUACCCCAGUAGUCCCUGUCUCUUAUAC